RNAcentral lists this ribosomal RNA (500 nucleotides) under uncultured bacterium. RNAcentral describes it as "partial 16S ribosomal RNA". It matches the Rfam family "Bacterial small subunit ribosomal RNA", at positions 30 to 523 of the family's 1533-position model. The record is from RNAcentral.
AUUGAACGCUGGCGGCAUGCCUUACACAUGCAAGUCGAACGGCAGCACGGACUUCGGUCUGGUGGCGAGUGGCGAACGGGUGAGUAAUAUAUCGGAACAUACCUUGUAGUGGGGGAUAACUAUCCGAAAGGAUAGCUAAUACCGCAUACGCUCUAAGGAGGAAAGUGGGGGAUCGCAAGACCUCAUGCUAUAAGAGUGGCCGAUAUCUGAUUAGCUAGUUGGUGAGGUAAAGGCUCACCAAGGCGACGAUCUGUAGCUGGUCUGAGAGGACGACCAGCCACACUGGAACUGAGACACGGUCCAGACUCCUACGGGAGGCAGCAGUGGGGAAUUUUGGACAAUGGACGCAAGUCUGAUCCAGCCAUUCCGCGUGCAGGAUGAAGGCCCUCGGGUUGUAAACUGCUUUUGUACGGAACGAAAAGGUCUCUCUUAAUACGGGGGGCUCAUGACGGUACCGUAAGAAUAAGCACCGGCUAACUACGUGCCAGCCGCCGCCGUAA